CGCAUCUGUGCAUGCAGCAUAUCAAUAAGCGGAGGAAAAGAAACUAACAAGGAUUCCCCUAGUAACGGCGAGUGAAGCGGGAAGAGCUCAAAUUUGAAAUCUUAAAGGGUUUCCCUUUACGAAUUGUAGUUUAAAGAAGUGUUUUCUGUUGAGGUUUUGGUAAAAGUUCUUUGGAAUAGGACAUCAUAGAGGGUGAGAAUCCCGUAUUUGACCUUUACUUUCAACUUUGUGAUACACUUUCAAAGAGUCGGAUUGUUUGGGAAUGCAGUCCAAAAUGGGUGGUAAAUUUCAUCUAAAGCUAAAUAUUGGCGAGAGACCGAUAGGCGAACAAGUACCGUGAGGGAAAGAUGAAAAGAACUUUGAAAAGAGAGUUAAACAGUACGUGAAAUUGUCAAAAGGGAAGCGUUUGACACCAGUGUUGUUUUUCUGAAAAUCAAUUAAAGAACUGUUUAUGCUAAGUUGUUUAGACUUUAUCAGCUAUCUGUUUAGUUUUGAGCUUUUCUUUAAUGCACUUUUCAGUUAACAAGUCAACAUCAAUUUCUUUUGCUGUAAAAAAGCUUGAGGAAGGUGGCUUGAGAUUCGUCUUAAGUGUUUAUAGCCUCUUGCCUAUGCAGUCGGAGAGAUUGAGGUCUGCAGCGUAGAUCCUUCGGGGCUAAAUGCAUUUGUGCUAAGUUAUAGCAUUUUAUAGACAACUUGUUGACUAUGAUUUGUCUUGUAGCUUACUCGCUUAUGUUAUUUUACCUACGCUUAGGAUGUUGAACGCGCACAGAGUCUC
Molecule: ribosomal RNA, 775 nt
Filed under: uncultured Neocallimastigales
Lineage: Eukaryota; Fungi; Neocallimastigomycota; Neocallimastigomycetes; Neocallimastigales
Description: partial large subunit ribosomal RNA
Rfam family: Eukaryotic large subunit ribosomal RNA
Source: RNAcentral